CGGGCGGCGCUGUGUCCGUCGCCAUGACAGAUCAGACCUAUUGUGACCGCCUGGUGCAGGACAUGCCUUUCCUGACAGGCCACGGGCGCUUGAGUGAGCAGCAGGUGGACAGGAUCAUCCUCCAGCUGAACCGUUACUACCCACAGAUCCUUACCAACAAGGAGGCGGAAAAGUUCCGGAACCCCAAGGCAUCCUUGCGUGUGCGGCUCUGUGACCUCCUGAGCCACCUGCAGCGGAGCGGUGAGCGGGACUGCCAGGAGUUCUACCGAGCCCUGUAUAUCCAUGCCCAGCCCCUGCACAGCCGCCUGCCCAGCCGCCACGCUCUGCGUAAGUUCCACGUCCCCAACCAUGCAUGCUUGGUGCUGGCCCAGGGAGGGCACCCCAGCCUGCUGUUGAUGGCAUGGAUGUCCUCCAUGACCACCCAAGUCUGCUGCAGCCCAGGCCUGGCAUCCCCUCUCACCUCAGCCCCUCCCCAGAGGCCACCCACUGGCCCCGAGGGGAGAAUGUGGCAGGCACAGGCAGUGCAGAUGUUGGUCUCUGUCUCCCACUUUCUCCUCCUUCCUCCAUCUCUCUCUCUCAUGGCAGUUUUCACACAGCAUGGGGCAUCUUGUACGUCCACUCUUGCCCUUCCUUUUCUAACCUCAUUCCACGGGGAUCCCUUCAUGUCUGUGUGGACAGCAGCCUUGUUCCCACAGCUGCAUGGCGCUUCUAGGUGGUCCCAGCUGGAAUUACCCAACCCCAUGACGGACCCUUUCAUUGCAGCGAUCUGCACACGUGUGGGUGUUUCCAUAGGGC
RNAcentral lists this small RNA (795 nucleotides) under Pongo abelii (Sumatran orangutan). RNAcentral describes it as "processed transcript". Lineage: Eukaryota; Metazoa; Chordata; Mammalia; Primates; Hominidae. The record is from RNAcentral.